RNAcentral lists this long non-coding RNA (4111 nucleotides) under Aquilegia coerulea. Its description in RNAcentral is "long non-coding RNA (ACOE_LNC000478)". Lineage: Eukaryota; Viridiplantae; Streptophyta; Magnoliopsida; Ranunculales; Ranunculaceae. The record is from RNAcentral.
GAAUCUACUUCGGGUAAGAUUUCUUCAUUAUUCUUCUAUCCUAUUCUUCUUCUUUUCUAUUUACUACUGUGUUCAGUUUGAUUUGUUCAGUUCGAAGUGAUUUGCUCUUUUUUUUUUUUUGUUGAAGUACACAUUCAAUUCUUCCUUUUCUUUAUAUUUCUUCUACCUUCUUCCUCUUCUUUUUAUUUCUUGUUGUGUUCUUCCUAUUGUGUUCUUCUACUGUAAUUUUUUUGUUUUGAAAGCUCUAGUGUUUGAAAUUUUGUGCAAAUUUUGAUGAAAACUUGGUUAGGGUUUUUCAUUUUGGUUUUUUUCCCUAUUUAACUGUUUAAUUUUGCAAAAAGUUUACGAAUAUAAGUUCGAUUUUUGUUUCUAGGGUUUUAAAUUUGGGAGUUUCCAAAUUAGGGUUAAAAUUUGGAGGUAUUUCUCCGUCUAUUGAAUUCUGCUGUCAUUAGGUUAAAUUCUCCUUUUAUAUUAAUCAAUUAUAGCUUUUGUGAUUGUAUUAUUCUGGUAGUGCCAUUAUGUUCUACAUUGUGGAUAGUUUGAUUUUGUUAUUCAUGUUGUUCAUAUUGAAUAGAAUUGUUCUUUUAUCCAAUGUAAUCAAAUAUAUUUCCUUGUUCUAAUUAUUGGUUGUUUUGUGUUUAGGUUACAUAAGAUUUCUUGUUUGUGCUAAUGGAAUUGAUUGAUAUGAUCAAUUGGGGGUUGUAUUAAUUUUUGUUUUUCUAUCCUAAACAUGGUGCAUACUUGAAUGUUUGUUUCCUUAUUGCUACUGCACCUAAAUCAUGAACAUUGUGCAUACUACAAUGUUUUAAUUUUGUUGUUUUUGUUGCAUUGUGGUUCUUAUUUGAUUGGUUGGAAAUGUAUUUCUUGGUGCUUGUUGUUUUUUGUCUUCUGUCUUCUAUGAGUCUUGUUGUUUUACUUAAUAUAUUCGAUUAUUCUUUAUCGAAUGUUUGAAUUAUCACGAGGGUAAUGUAUUCCAUGUAUACAUGUGUAGAUAAUGCCUAAAAAGUUUGCGGGUCACCUAGUAAAUGGUUGGUGAUAAUAAUGGAGAUGAUAACUAUACCCCACAAGACCUCAACAGUCCUGUGAAUGGAUCACCACCUGGUUAGUUGGUUCUUUAUUUUAUACAUUCAAAUUUUUUGUAGUACAAAUGGUUUCGUGAAAUGAUGGCAUUGUUAUUGUAGAGAACAUAAAAGAAGAAGAAGAUGAUGAUGUGAACCUAGAAGGGUUAGAUACCCAAAUUCCUUCCAACACACCAAUUGGAUUAACACCACUUGCAUCAACUGAAGUUCUAGGAGAAAGUUCAGCAACUGGAGGGGAUGCUCGCAAAAGGAAAGGCAGUGAUGCACCUAUUUUACCAAAGCGUAAUAAGCUGAAAUUUGGAUUGAUAGAUAUACCUGAACCAACAUCCUUCAAGGGGUUGACCGCAGCUUUGCAGAGUAUAGCCCAAAGUCUGGAAAAACCCAAGAUUGCAGAUCUGUCAACUGCACUUCAAGAGAUGACAAAUGGGGACAGAGAUAUGUAUCUGAGAGCAAUGGACUUUCUAGGAGACAACCCUAGUUUGAUGGCAAUGUUUGUGGGUAUAGAGAAGGAAUACAAGAUGGAAUGGCUUUUGAGAAAGCUUAAUGCCCAUAGGUAGUGAAGGGUGAUCUUGGUGUUUCUAUUUUUUUUAGGCUGCGGAAGUAUUCCUUUUUGUAUGUUGCAGAAGUGUGUUUUAACCUUGUUAUAAUCAUGUACUAGUUUGAUUGUGAACUUAUUUUCAUCACAACCUUUUGAACUUGGUUUGAAUAUAAAUAGUUUGAUUUUGAACUAUUUUAUGAUGUCGCAGCCUUUCAAAUCUCAUUUGAUUUUAUAUAUUCCAUGUUAUGUAAAUUGUGUUUAGAUUAGGGUUUUCUUAAAUGAGACCUGUAGCUAACGAAGACAAGCUCAAUCAGUUCAUGUAAAUGACAGAGCAGUUCCUGGUGAACUUUUAACUUUUUUCCUCACAAGUUACUACGGGUUCUUUAAAUAGCCUAACUUGAAGACAACCUUUGAUUAAGCCACAUUGCCACAACAUACAGUUGUUGUUUUUGUACCCUUAGCCAUUUCUCCCUAACAAGGACACAAAAGUUCCAUCUAUAAAGCCAUUGGUAUGGUCAGCUCCGCAGUUUUGAUUUUGUAUGGCCGUGUCAUUGAAACCUAUGAAUGGAUUAGGACUUGUAUGUAUGUAUGCUGGUACAUUCCAACUUUUAUGAUGGUUUACCGAACUUUUUAACGAAACCUUGUUUGUUUGUUUAUUUGUUUGUUUGUUUUUUUUUUUUUUUUUUUUUUUUUAUGAAAAUCAAACCUUGUUCAAUUUUGUAUUUCACACAAACUUUUUUGCACACUUUUUUUUUAAGGAAUACUAGCAGAUUAUUCUGAAAAUUGUUGAGGUUCACAUUGAAAGAUGAAUAUACUUCGUUGUAAUUUUUUUUCUCAUUAUUUCUUAUUUAUUUUGGCUAAUUAUAAUUUGGUAUGCUUACCGCUUAAGCACCUUUAAUUUGGUCGUGUAUUGGGCCACAAAUCGGGUCGAUGGCAUAUGUCCAUUGGAUUGAUUGUAGGAAAAGAUCCAAAGUCCAUAAAGAAUCAUAAGUGCAAGCCCAUAGCCCAUCAGUUUAAGUCAAUUUGCCCGACUGAAAAGAGUUAUCAAACGCAGGUAAAAUUGGCAAAACCAUUUUUCCUACAUUUUCCAAACACAUUAACAAACAGCGGCAAAUGGUUUUUCCAAAAAAUUUCUCGGAACACGAAUUUGCCAAAUCCACUAGUUUUGCCGCUUUGCCUAUUUUCUUGGGACCGUGUGUAAAGUUAUCAAACAGACCUUUAGUUCCAGCAACAAUCAUUCAUGUUAUACCCAUUAAUACUGUACCUAUGAAUUUCAUAUCUACCCAAUAAAAUAAGUAAGGAUAACUAAUACAGAUGUUACCAAAGCUUCAACAAAUCAAACCAAACCCAUUACAGUACCCGUCCCCACAUAGAAAUAGAGGUAUAUGUUAUCUUCUUCUCACCCACAACAAUUUAAUUUCCAAGUAAAUUAACUACAGUCAAUACUCAGUUCAAAAAUGACAAUGAAUCGGGGACACAUGUAAUUAUUUCUGAUCAUACAGUUAACCUUUAGAAAAAUAUAGCCACAAUGACCAGAGAAAGGAAAUUAAAUCUGGUGGUAUGCUUCUUAACACUUAUGCAGUUAUGCUCGUCCAUAUUUCGAAAAUAUUAACUUAUUAAAAACUAUGUCUACUCACCUGCUACUUCUUUCCUUUCCUAUUAUGAACUCCUGGUUCUCUGAAAGUCUGCAACUUUCCUUCCAGCAGCGCCGCCCACUCUCUUUCGCAAAUUUCUCUGUUUUUUUUUUUUUGUCGAUCACAAAUAAAACUCUCACCUCCUAUCCCUUUUAAAGCGAAUAAUCUGACGGCUAAUAAUGAAUUCAACUUGAUCGUGUUUCCGAAUUCAAAGCAAUAACAACUGAUCGUGUUCAUAGGUGAGAAAAUCGAAUUUGUCGGGCGGAUAUUCACGAAAUAUUCUGGUUUUUGGGAAUUCGGAUCGGUACGGCAUACGAAAUAUAAACCACCCCAUGCCGUUAGAAAUUUUACGAAUAUUCGCGAAAUAUUCGGCAAGAACCAAAAUUUACGAAAUUUUUGAUUAUGAAAUUAACACAUUUAUUUUUAAUUCCCACCAAACUAGAAUUUUCGAUGAGGUUAUCAAAAAAGGAUCCAAAAGGCACUAGACGUUUGGAAACUUUCUAUUGGGAUGGGGUUCAAUUGUGCAUAGUAGUACAUGAUGAAAUGAUUGUUAAGGGGAAUCUACAUGCUACAGCUUCAUUGUUGUCUCUUUAUAUCUAAGUGAAGUCCUCUCUCACUUUUUGUAAAGUUUUCCAUUCAAUAAAACGAAAAUACAUAAUUGGUUUGCUUUUUGUAAAGUUUUCCAUUACAUAUGAUAUACAUAUUGACCAAUUCAGGUCGUACGAGCAAACAAUGUCAUGGGAAUAUUACUAUAUUGAGUUCGUCCCCACACGUAUGCGACUCGAAGCUCAUCGGUUUGACAUGGGACGUCUAUCAUUCUGGGGUUAGCAUGUCUUUUAUUUUGAUUAUUAAAAUAAAAC